CAGUCAGAGGCGAUGAAGGGCGUACUAAUCUGCGAUAAGCGCCGGUAAGGUGAUAUGAACCGUUAUAACCGGCGAUACCCGAAUGGGGAAACCCAGUGUGAUUCGUCACACUAUCAUUAACUGAAUCCAUAGGUUAAUGAGGCGAACCGGGGGAACUGAAACAUCUAAGUACCCCGAGGAAAAGAAAUCAACCGAGAUUCCCCCAGUAGCGGCGAGCGAACGGGGAGGAGCCCAGAGCCUGAAUCAGCAUGUGUGUUAGUGGAAGCGUCUGGAAAGGCGCGCGAUACAGGGUGACAGCCCCGUACACAAAAGCGCAUGUGCUGUGAGCUCGAUGAGUAGGGCGGGACACGUGGUAUCCUGUCUGAAUAUGGGGGGACCAUCCUCCAAGGCUAAAUACUCCUGACUGACCGAUAGUGAACCAGUACCGUGAGGGAAAGGCGAAAAGAACCCCGGCGAGGGGAGUGAAAAAGAACCUGAAACCGUGU
Molecule: ribosomal RNA, 485 nt
Filed under: Salmonella enterica subsp. enterica serovar Enteritidis
Lineage: Bacteria; Pseudomonadati; Pseudomonadota; Gammaproteobacteria; Enterobacterales; Enterobacteriaceae
Description: partial 23S ribosomal RNA
Rfam family: Bacterial large subunit ribosomal RNA
Source: RNAcentral